GACGAACGCUGGCGGCGUGCUUAACACAUGCAAGUGGAGCGACGAACCAGGGCUUGCCCUGGGGCAAAGCCGCGAACGGGUGAGUAACACGUGGGUACCCUGCCCCGAAGACCGGGACAACCCGAGGAAACUCGGGCUAAUACCGGAUGUGUCUUCCGCGCACAAGCUUGGUGGGCAAAGGAAGCCUCGGGCUCCGCUUCGGGAGGGGCCCGCGGCCCAUAAGCUAGUCGGUGAGGUAACGGCUCACCGAGGCAACGAUGGGGAGCUGGUCUGAGAGGACGAUCAGCCACACUGGGACUGAGACACGGCCCAGACUCCUACGGGAGGAAGCAGUGGGGAAUCUUGCGCAAUGCGCGAAAGCGUGACGCAGCAACGCCGCGUGGGGGAAGAAGGCCCUCGGGUUGUAAACCCCUUUCAGGGGGGACGAAGGCACGAUCGGUGAAUAGCCGGUCGUGCUGACGGUACCCCCAGAAGAAGCUCCGGCUAACUACGUGCCAGCCGCCGCAGUAA
Molecule: ribosomal RNA, 510 nt
Filed under: uncultured bacterium
Lineage: Bacteria
Description: partial 16S ribosomal RNA
Rfam family: Bacterial small subunit ribosomal RNA
Source: RNAcentral